Long non-coding RNA from Hemicordylus capensis (graceful crag lizard), 840 nucleotides. RefSeq lists it as uncharacterized. The transcript has 4 exons. The record is from RefSeq and is a predicted model, not a curated record. NCBI's taxonomy places the organism in Eukaryota, Metazoa, Chordata, Lepidosauria, Squamata, Cordylidae.
GUGAGGCUUCAGUGCUGGAGAGCUCCGAGCGUUGUUGAGGGUUAACGGCGUUCCGGGCAUGCUCAGUAUGAGAAGCAGUGCAAGAGCGGUCAGGUGAGCCCCAGAGUGGACUGCUCAGCGGGAACUGAAGGCUGUGUCGAGACGGAGGAUGAAACAGCCUGCCCCUGUGAGGUGACUAAAGUAAAACACAAAAUUAGAAAGGAAGGAAAAACGAAAGGAGAGAUGUAGCAGAAUAAAACAGAAAGGAAAAAAUGGCCUAGAGAACAACUUGACACGUACCGACUAUUACAAAGCAGUGACCCAGUAAGCAAAUUUGUAUGCACUCCAAAACUGGAAGAUGCUUGGUGCUCACAACCCAAUGAAAAUGUAAAUAUUUGGAUGGAGUAGUCAUACAAAAGCUAAUGGAUUGUACAUGGACGGCUCAAGGUAUUCAGGAGAAAAGUAAAAUUUCAGUGACGCAGAACCUGAGAAGUGUGGCAUCAUUUCUGUGUUAUAAAGAUGCAUAUUUUGGCAAUGCAUACUGAACUAUACUACCUUACACUUGUAGGACUUUUGGGAUUUGUAGGAUGGGGUUGUCAUCAUUGUAGUAUGUAAUUUUUAAAGCAUGCUUUUUAGAAAAAUCCAUUGUAUAAUUUGUUUUCUCACUAAAUACUGGAAUGGUCUUCAGGGGUUCCCAACCUGUGAUCCUCCAGAUAUUGCUGAACUACAACUCCCAUCAUCCACAGCCACAAUCAUCCCACCAUCCACUGCCACAUCUAGCGGGCCACAGGUUGGGAACCCCUGGUCUGUAAAAUAAUUAUUUAUUACCCCCAUAACCUAAUUUCUUUAAUAUAACAAAUG